CGAGUGGCGGACGGGUGAGUAAUGUCUGGGAAACUGCCUGAUGGAGGGGGAUAACUACUGGAAACGGUAGCUAAUACCGCAUAACGUCGCAAGACCAAAGAGGGGGACCUUCGGGCCUCUUGCCAUCGGAUGUGCCCAGAUGGGAUUAGCUAGUAGGUGGGGUAACGGCUCACCUAGGCGACGACCCCUAGCUGGUCUGAGAGGAUGACCAGCCACACUGGAACUGAGACACGGUCCAG
RNAcentral lists this ribosomal RNA (239 nucleotides) under uncultured bacterium. Its description in RNAcentral is "partial 16S ribosomal RNA". It matches the Rfam family "Bacterial small subunit ribosomal RNA", at positions 92 to 334 of the family's 1533-position model. The record is from RNAcentral.